CAGAGGAGAUAGUUUAUUGUCGCCAGUAGACCCAAACAAUAAGACAAAUUGCAAAAGAAACUCAGUCUGCUCCCAAAAGCAGAUACAUCCCAGCAGUCGAGUCACAGAGGGCCAUCUCAGUUUCUCUCCCCUUCCAACCACCCCUUCCAACCUCUCUAUAGCACACACAACCGAGAAAGUGCAUAUGUAGUUGGGUUUUCCCCUCCAAGUGCACAAAGCGCAAGAACAUUCCAAAAUUUGCCUUUGGUGAAUCAACUCAAAACACUGAGAAGUUAUUACACCUCCCCACACACACACAUUGUAACUUUUGGGGUGGGUGUGGUGAGAUGUUUGAUAUUUGUAUAUAUAAUAUAUCUAUACCUAGAGAGAGAGACUAUGUACAGUGCAUCAGCAAGCUUCAAUAAAGGAAGACGCCAGCAAGAGGCACAGCAAGAGACACAGGCUGUCCAUCUUUAAGACAUAAGUAGGAAGGAAGAUUUCUUGCUUCAUCACCCAUUAACUGCACCAAGCCAUUCCUAUGGCCUGGAACUAUCCUUUUGGACCUGCCCAGUAUUUUCAAUUGUCUGUCUGCUUAACCUGACCUUGCAAAUAUUUACCAGCCCAACCUCCCCAAGGAGACUCGCAGAGAGAAACAUGGAUCCGAUCAGCUUUUCCUUUUUAUAAACUGGAAAUAACUGUGAAGAGUCCAUAGCUAGGGGGCAGAUAGCUAUUUCCAAAGCCAGUUCCAAGGCACCUCAAAGCAGUUCAGUCCUGAAUAAUUGUGCUUUGUUCUUAUAAGCUAAAUCCCAUGGGUUAGCCAGCCCGUCUCUCUUUGCAGUGGCCCUUAGUUAGGAGGAAGAGACAGAUGGGGGGUGGGGGCAGAGGGAGGUUCUGAGAGAGCAGGAGAGGCUGGGGCAGUUGAGAAAGUCAGCCGACUAAAACCAGCAGAGCGUCGUGGUGGGAACAUGCAACCAGAAGUGGGGCUCGAACCCCACGGUAGGAAGAGGAAGAACUUGUCAGCAUAAGGUAGGAAACAGGGUAGAGAAAUGGCCGCUGUGGAAACAUCUCUCUGGUUUUCCACCUCUACUUACAGAAGCCCCAACUUCACCAUCCUGGGGGAGGCAGCUCUAUGAGUCCUCUGGAGGAGAUUCUAAGAGGCUCCAGAAGAAAAUGCAUAUGAGGGCUGAGCACCUGGGACAGAGAUGGUUCCUGACCCAGCCCCAUCUGCUGGGGCCCUGAGGCCCGUGAAGAGACAUUGCUUUUCCUGGGCCCCAGUUGAUCAGGGCAGAGGAAAAAAAGACUCCAGGAAUCUUGGGCUUCUUGAUGGAGAGUUAGAACUUCUUAGAAUACACUAGGAAAGCCCGCAAAUAAUUCCCCUAAAUGUUAUGGAUCCUGGAAAAAGCUAAGUUCCCAACAUCAGCACAGCUCCUCACUCAUCCUGGGAGAGAAGGACACUUAAAGGGUGACCAAAAAAAUGAAAUCUGCAAGCUGCAGAAAUGUAUACAACCACUCUUGGUCUCAGCUGGCAUGAGGUGCCCGCCACCCACCUCUCUGCCCCCAGCUGGCUGGCUCGAGGAUGGGCAGCGUCCAUCUGCUGCAGGCAUCCUGGUGGCUUAGCCCACCCGCAUUGGCAGUGUGUUGAUUGGCAGUUAGGUACUGAGCUGAUGAGUUUAGCAUUUCCAGAUGGGCUUGACUCGCUCACCUCACCCAGGUGUUACCAGGCUGGUUGCCCAUCCCCCACUCUGCACCCACUCUGCCUGGCCUCUGCACCCUUGACCCUGUUGUAUUGCCCCUCUUCCCUGCUGUUUCUCCCUUCCCAGGGCACAGAUUCUAGAAUCUCUUCAUCUUCCCCAACUGUAGCCUUGGAAGCAGUGUCUUGCAGAGGUGGAAUUAGUUGCACCAAAAAGUUAAUCUUGGUCCCUACAGUGCCAACCUGGCAGUCCCCAGUGCUUAUGGCUUUGGCACGGAUUCUAGAAUCUCUUCAUCUUCCCCAACUGUAGCCUUGGAAGCAGUGUCUUGCAGAGGUGGAAUUAGUUGCACCAAAAAGUUAAUCUUGGUCCCUACAGUGCCAACCUGGCAGUCCCCAGUGCUUAUGGCUUUGUGUAUAUCCCCAGUGCCCGGCACAGUGCCUGGCACAUAAUAGAUGCUCAAUAAAUGGUUGCUGAAUUGAAGCAAAUUAAGCUGAAUCUCCCAGAUGAUAUUGCUGUCUCCCCAAAUUGGCAAUCUGAUGGGCAGAGGCAGGGAUUGGUCCCUGAGACUGUCACGGUCCUGUCUCCACCCCCUUUCCUAGACUUAUUCCCUACCCUGGGCACCUGACUCCCUGAGCAGGGGUGGGGCAGAGCUCCUGGAAAGGCUGGGAAGUGCUGGGGCAGGGAAUGGGGCAUUUGCCAGCAGCUGUGCCCUUCACACUUGCUCCCUCCCUCCCUGCUUCCCUCCACUCCUCCUCAGUCCUGGCCAGAGGGGCUGGGCUCCUGGGAGAGGGGCAGGGCUAGAGAAGCCCACCCCUCCAACUCGCCCCAUCAUGGACCAGGCCACAGAGGCCCCUCCCACUGGGAAAAUGAUGGCUCUGUUGCUUCAAACUGGAGACCGAGGAGCCAGAGAAGAGGGCAGGACCCUCAGUUUCUGUCAGUUGGAACCUCAGUUUCCCCAUUUUAAGUGAGUGACUUGGCUAGUUGAUCUCUGAGGAUCUUCCAAGGUCAUGGUCUCAGAGUCAGUGUUUCUGCCUCUUGCUCCUUCUCUCAGGCCUAAUCAAUUUCCAUUGAAUGUGAGUGUAAUGGCAGUGAUGGUUGGCUCCCCACAAUUGCCUUUUUUUUUUUUUUUUUUUUAGAGAUGGAGUCUCUCUAUGUCACCCAGGCUGAAUUGCAGUGGCACUAUCACUAUCUCAGUUCACUGCAACCUCCGCUUCCCGGGCUCAAGCGAUUCUCCUGCCUCAGCCUCCCAAAUAGCUGGGAUUACAGGCACACGCCACCACACCCAGCUAAUUCUUGUAUUUUUAGUAGAGAUGGGGUUUUGCCCAUUUCUACUAAACAGAUGGAGGUAAUCCACCCGCCUUGGCCUCCCAAAGUGCUGGGAUUACAGGCGUGAGCCACUGUGCCUGGCCUACAAUUGUCACUUUUAUCCCCACGAAGGGAGUUGUUGGGAGAGGAGCAAGUAGCGUGGCCGCAGAUGGGACAGGGCUGGCAUUGGCGGCUCAGGUUCCAAGGCCUCCCCUCAUGCUGGCCUCAGGCUUUCCCUUCCCUCUCUGUAGCCAAAAGCCAGGUGGAAACCCCACCAAGGGCAACUGGGAGAGUUCUCACUGAAGCCCCAAAGAAAGCUGCCCCACCCUGUGCAUGGCCUCCUCAUUUCCCAGCCUUGGCUGCCCCUGCCCAGGCGAGGGUGGUUACCCCAUGGAGAAGGCAGAGCCUGCAGCAACCUGCAUUCACCAUGGAGCCCCACCCCUCAGCCCCUCAGCUGACUUUGAAACUGGCCUCUGUUGGUGGGUCCCCGCUGGGAAACAUGGCCCCCUACCUGGAGCUGCUCUUCCAGUCUGGCCUCAUCCACAGUCCUAAGGGAUUAGGAGCCAACGGGAGCCCCAAGGAGGCCACUAGCAAUGGAAAUGAGGGCCCAACAUGGCCUCCUGGGCCAGGGCACAUGUCCAGCUCUGCCUGCAGCCCUGGCUUUCCGUCAGUGCCCUGGAAUGCACAGUCAUCCCCUUUAACAUGCCCCUCCAAGUUUCAGGAACUCAUCC
This 3706-nucleotide long non-coding RNA is filed under the name Pan troglodytes (chimpanzee). RNAcentral's name for it is "long non-coding RNA NONPTRT002871". The record is from RNAcentral. Lineage: Eukaryota; Metazoa; Chordata; Mammalia; Primates; Hominidae.